UUUUUUUUUUUUUUUUGAGAAUUCCUUAAUUAUUUUUACAGUAAACCUUGGCGCUUGAGUGAUUUCACUUAAAAGGAGGAAAAAAGGAGAAGCUCAAUGCUGAAUAAAAACUAGUAAAAUUGUGUGUAGGCAGUUGGUGGUAUGGUAAAAUGCAUAUGAACUAAAGACAAGAGACAGAUUUGUGUUCCAGACAAGAGAUUACCCAAGAUAGGCUUCGAUUUUCAUUAAGAGGAAUUGAGCUAUUUGAUCUCCAAAUUCACUUUAAGUUCAGCAUUUGAAUAAUUGUACAAAACCACUUUAAUUAUUUCAAGAUCAUCUAAUAAACUAACAUUCAUUAGCUCACUACACAGAAUGCUGAAAUGCCUCCACUGGCUUUCCAUUUCUCUUAGAAUAAAAUCUAAAUUCUUUAUCAUCAGGGAUCCAUGGGUGGCUCAGCGGUUUAGCACCUGCCUUCGGCCCAGGGCAUGAUCCUGGAGACCCGGGAUCGAAUCCUACAUCAGGCUCCCUGCAUGAAGCCAGCUUCUCCCUCUGCCUGUGUCUCUGCCUCUGUGUGUGUCUCUCUCAUGACUAAAUAAUAAAAUCCUUUAAAAAAAUUCUUUAUCGUGGCCCAGAAAGCCCUGAAAUCUGUCUCGCCACAACUUUCUCUCCAUUCACACCACUCUCUGUUUACAUGUCUGGGUCAGUUAUCCACACUUGCAAAGCUCCAAUAUGUCUUGAGGCUUUGCCUUUCUUUUCUUUAACAUCCUCUGUUCCGUAUCUAAGCUUAUCAAGGUUGUCGAGUUUUUGUCCUUUGGGUCUCAGCUCAAAUUGUCACCUCCUCCUUCUCAAAGAGGUUCUCCCUAUCCAGCUGAUCUAAAGGAGCUUUUCCCAAGUUCAUCUCUAUCACCUAGCCUGGUUUAAUUUCCUCUAUAACAACUUGCAAUGAUUUUGCUCAUUUACUUGCCCUUCAUCUGCUUUCUUCUAUACAAAUGCAUAAGCUAUGUGAAGGCAAGGAUCUUAUCCAUCGGACUCCUCCGUGUACCCUCUGGAACAGUGCCUGAUAGGCAUUGCAUAAGUAUUUUGAGAAUAAAUGAAUGAUCAUAUGUCACCAAUGCCAAAGCAUAAUGCUUGGUACAUAGUAAGCAUUCAGUAAAUAUUUUCUCAAUGUAACUGAAUGAGUGAACUUUGGUCACCUUCUUAUAAAGGUGACAUGACUUAUUUACUAUCUAUUCUGUAUUAGUUUCCUCUCACUGCUGUAAAAAAUUACCACAAAUUUGAUGACUUAAAAUAACACAGUUAUUAUUUUAUAGUUCUGAAGAUCAGAAAUCAAACACGAGUCUCAUGGGGCUAAUAUCAAGGUAUUGACAGGGCUGUAUUCAUUCUGGAGAUUUUAGGGAAGAAUUUAUUAAUUUGCCUUUUCUAGCUUGUAGAGGCUGCCUGCAUUCUUUGGCUCAUAGCCCCCUGGGAUCUUCAAUAACAGCAAUGGCUAGCUGAAUUUUUAGAUGCUGUAUCAUUCUGACACUGAUUCUCCUGCCUCCCUUGGGAUUCUAUUGAGCCUGCUUGGAUAAUACAGAAUAAUCUCAUCUAUAAAUCCUUACUUUAAUCACAUCUGCAACAUCCUUUUGGCCAUGUAAUGUAACAUAUUCAUAGGUUCCAGGGAUUAGGACAUAGACAUCUUUUGGAGGGUCAUUAUUCUGCUGCUGCAUUGUCAUUUUGAAUGCUUCUGGAAGAAAUCACCCUUGUCUUGGGUGAUCUUAUGGAACCCUCUUAUUGUUCACACAUGCUACAUGGUCACAUUCUGGAGAGGAUUCCUCAUACUCUUAUAUCUCAUUUUCCCACCUAUGGCUUGAGGGGGUGAGUAAUGCUACUUUGCAUACAUUGACCAAAGGGUUUAGACUACUACCACCUAUGCAUUUAAACAGCCUAAAAAUACGCAGACGUUGACAUCUCUGGACAGGCAAAAAAUCCAUUUCUGUUGCUGGUAGAGGAUAAUUAUAAGAAGAGAAAACACAUUCUAUUCUAUUCCCAUCACCAAAAUAAGGACACCACCACUGUAUAUUGCAAGAAGAUAAAUUCAGUGGGAGUCAAGGAAAUUGCACCAUUAUUAGAAGGAUCUAUCUUAAGCCUGGAAGGCAGUGGGGAGAAGGGCUGUGUGAUAGACUACAAAAUUUGCAUUGAGCUAAGGCAGUUCUCUUCCCUUGCCUAGGGUAAGUCAGCCUAUACAAUUAAGCAAACCCAGGGGCCUAACACAUUAACUUACCAUCGAUAUAUUCUAACUGCCUUGGCACAGCUAGUGUUUCUGGCAUUAUUUAUGAAGGCAGUCUUGCUAUAUUUGCACAGCAUGCAGCAUUGUUCAUAACAGGCUACAGAUUAUUGUCGAUGAAUAAUGCCUGAGAAGCUCCUAACCCUUUGUGCUUAUGCCUAAUAACUAAAUGGCAAUAGCUGCUUUUUUGUUCUGCUCAAGAUUAUAGCAC
Molecule: long non-coding RNA, 2453 nt
Filed under: Canis lupus familiaris (dog)
Lineage: Eukaryota; Metazoa; Chordata; Mammalia; Carnivora; Canidae
Description: lncRNA (ENSCAFG00845013944.1)
Source: RNAcentral